GAUGCCAAGUGUUUUCACUGUGAUGAGAUCGGGCAUUGGAAGAGGAAUUGUCCCAAGUACCUGGCUGAGUUGAAGCUUAAGAAGCUGCAGAUUGGAGAAUCCUCAGGGACUAAAAAGGAUUAGGAAGCUGAAGCAGGGUGACUUAGAGCUGCACGUUGGGAACGGGCAGAAUGUUGCUGUGAAGGCAGUUGGAGAAUUUAUUCUUGAAUUACCUUCUGGAUUGUUUAUUACUUUAGACAAUGUUUUUUAUGUUCCUACAUUUCUGCAUUUUUAAAUGGUGUGUUCUAUUUUGA
This 293-nucleotide long non-coding RNA is filed under the name Helianthus annuus (common sunflower). RNAcentral describes it as "hypothetical non coding rna". The record is from RNAcentral. Lineage: Eukaryota; Viridiplantae; Streptophyta; Magnoliopsida; Asterales; Asteraceae.